This 448-nucleotide unclassified non-coding RNA is filed under the name Hevea brasiliensis (rubber tree). The record is from RNAcentral. Lineage: Eukaryota; Viridiplantae; Streptophyta; Magnoliopsida; Malpighiales; Euphorbiaceae.
AAAAAAAAAAAAAAAAAAACAGUUGAGGAAGAAGAGGAGAGUGAUCUCUGUCAUGACUCAAGGCUGGAGUAGCAGAGGCUCUAAAAUGCAGCAUUUGCUGCUGGGUUGUUUUUGUUUUAUUUUUUUUUUUCCCCUCUUGGUCAAAAUGGCAAGACAGUUUUUUACAAGGACAAUAAAAAUAAAUACAAUACAAUAAAUGAAAAUGAGCUAAAAUAUUUAAAACUAUGAAAUGAAGCUUGUAAAUUAAAAAUAUAAUAAAUCAAUUGAGAUCAUUAAAAUUUAAAUCCUGGGCAGAAUCGGGUGUCUACAAAGAAAGAUGUUUUUAUUAUUAUUUCUUAUUAAGAACUAUAAAGGACUCAUUUUCCAAAUCAAUAAGUUCAAGUGAGCAAAAGUUCCAUACUUUUUUCUUUAAACCAAUCUACUAAUCUUGGAUCAUUUAAUGAGAUUU